RNAcentral lists this transfer RNA (71 nucleotides) under Ictidomys tridecemlineatus (thirteen-lined ground squirrel). RNAcentral describes it as "Spermophilus tridecemlineatus (thirteen-lined ground squirrel) tRNA". It matches the Rfam family "tRNA". From Rfam's summary of the family: Transfer RNA (tRNA) molecules are approximately 80 nucleotides in length. Their secondary structure includes four short double-helical elements and three loops (D, anti-codon, and T loops). The record is from Rfam by way of RNAcentral. Lineage: Eukaryota; Metazoa; Chordata; Mammalia; Rodentia; Sciuridae.
UGGGGUGUAGCUUAGACGUAGAGCAUUUGCCUAGCAUGCAAAGGGCCUGGCUUCAAUCUCCAGCUCUCCAA